AGUGUGACUGCUAGAUUAUAUGGUAGAAAUAUAUUUAGUUUUGUAAGAAGCUGCCAAAUUGUCUUCCAAAAUAGCUGUACCAUUUUGCAUUGCCACCAACAAU
RNAcentral lists this microRNA precursor (103 nucleotides) under Marmota monax (woodchuck). Lineage: Eukaryota; Metazoa; Chordata; Mammalia; Rodentia; Sciuridae. The record is from RNAcentral.